CAACCUGAAAUGUAAAUGUGAACCUGGCCAAUAUGGAACUUGCGCUAAGGAAAUAACUGAAUGUCCCUCAAAGUACGAUUGUUGUUCAGUAACAUCACAACUCUAUUAUUUAGGUGGUGCAAAGUCUAAGCGGAACUCCAAAGAUUGCAUUAUGUCUGAACUGUGUGUUAAUUACUCUAUCAGCUAUGGAGCUUACAGAAUUGUACAAAACACCAAGUGCUGCAGUGAAGAUCUCUGCAACGCCCAGAUUAACUACACAAAACUUGUCUCCACUCCAAAUAGAAAAAAGUGCUUCAGCUGUGAUGAAGAAAACUGCAUGAAAACCCUUAAAUGUGCACGGGAUGAAAACUACUGCGUUGAUGUAAAAGGAUAUACACAAGGAGAACGUUUCAUGAUGAAGGGAUGUGCCUCUAAGUCGGUGUGCUCAGAUAAUUUUUCUUUAGUGAUGAGUCAGUUAACUUCACGGCCCCCUGUAGCAAAGAUUAGCUGCUGCCGGGGCAACUACUGCAACAGCGCUAGCAGCACCAUCAGCCCAGGAAGCAAAAGCAGCGCCAGCAGCACCAGUCCCACCCUGCUGCUCCUGUUGGUGCCUCUGUUGUUUUCUAACUUAUUUUCUUAGCUCACAGAAGCUACUGAAUUGCUGCCAUGUUUUCUUUUUAAUCACAAUUCAUUUUAUAAACCUGUUCUUUUUAAUUGAUUCUAUAGCUUGGUUAGCUAAGCAGCAUGUUAUAAUCAACAACAUCCUCUAUACUUUGUUGUUCUAUACUAAAAUAAUCUUCCUCAAUAAACACAAUUUUUUUUAAUUCUGGGUCCA
Long non-coding RNA from Xiphophorus maculatus (southern platyfish), 814 nucleotides. RefSeq lists it as uncharacterized. NCBI's taxonomy places the organism in Eukaryota, Metazoa, Chordata, Actinopteri, Cyprinodontiformes, Poeciliidae. The transcript has 4 exons. The record is from RefSeq and is a predicted model, not a curated record.